Molecule: ribosomal RNA, 408 nt
Filed under: uncultured bacterium
Lineage: Bacteria
Description: partial 16S ribosomal RNA
Rfam family: Bacterial small subunit ribosomal RNA
Source: RNAcentral
GACGAACGCUGGCGGCGUGCCUAAUACAUGCAAGUCGACCUUAAUGGCGAACGGGGGAGUAACACGUGGGUAAACUGCCCAUCAGAAGGGGAUAACACUUGGAAACAGGUGCUAAUACCGUAUACUACUGGAUAGAGCCGCGAUGAAUUAGCUUGUUGGGGAGGUAACGGCUCACCAAGGCCACGAUGAAUAGGCGACCUGAGGGGGUGAUCGGCCACAUGGGGACUGAGACACGGCCCAAACUCCUACGGGAGGCAGCAGUAGGUAAUCGUCGGCAAUGGACGAAAGUCUGACCGAGCAACGCCGCGGGAGUGAAGAAGGUUUUCGGAUCGUAAAACUCUGUUGUUAGAGAAGCGGUAUCUAACCAGAAAGCCACGGCUAACUACGUGCCAGCAGCCGCGGUAAUAC